ACCCAAAGAGAUUGGUGUCAAGGUCGGAAAUGCCAUGACAAACGCGGCAGCAUUCGCAGACGAUAUAGUGCUAUUUGCGGAAACUCCGAUGGGCCUUCAAAAAUUGUUGGACAAGACCGUGGAAUUCUUGGGAACGGUCGGACUCACCCUGAAUGCUGAUAAGUGUUUCACUAUCGGUAUAAAGGGGCAGCCUAAGCAGAAGUGUACUGUUGUGACGCAACACAGCUUUCGCAUAGGUCUGCGCGAGUGUCCUUCAUUGAAGCGCACGGACGAGUGGAAGUAUUUAGGUAUCUGUUUCACUGCGGAAGGAAGGGUCCGGUACAAUCCAGCUGAAGACCUCGGUCCGAAGUUGUUGAGAUUGACUCGGGCCCCUCUGAAGCCACAACAGAAGUUGUUUGCCCUUAGGACUGUCCUCAUCCCACAGCUCUUUCACAAGCUAACCCUUGGGAGUGUGACGAUAGGCGUUCUAAGAAAAUUUGACAAAUUGGUACGUUUCUAUAUCCGGAAGUGGCUAGAUCUUCCGGGGGAUGUGUCAGUCGCCUACUUCCACGCCCCCCACAAUUGUGGGGGACUCGGAAUACCGUCCUUGAGAUGGUUAGCACCAAUGCUACGUUUGAAGAGAUUGAGCAACAUAAGAUGGCCAAACCUUGAGCAAUCCGAGGUGGUCAGCUCUUUCUUGGAAAAUGAAAUGCAGAGGGCCCGAGUUCGCUUACGAGCGGGAAAUGUAGAACUGCUAUCACGCCUUGAAAUAGAAUCGUACUGGGCAAACAGGUUGCACAUGUCUGUUGAUGGCAGCGGUCUCCGUGAGGCGGGUAAAUUCCACCCGCAGCAUGGAUGGGUCAGUCAGCCCACGCGUUUGCUAACAGGAAAGGAAUAUUUGAACGGAAUCAAAUUGCGGAUAAAUGCCCUACCCUCAAAGUCUCGUACUACGAGGGGAAGGCACGAAUUGGAUAGACGGUGUCGUGCAGGAUGUGAUGCUUCCGAAACAACAAACCACAUUUUGCAAAAAUGCUAUAGAACGUAUGGAAGACGCAUAGCUAGACACAACAGCGUAGUAAAUUCAAUCAAGUUGGGGCUUGAGAGAAAAGGCUGCGUUGUCCAUGUCGAACCAAGUCUGCAAUGCGAAUCCGGGUUGAAUAAACCUGACCUGGUGGCACUCCGACAUAAUCGCAUUUAUGUGAUUGACGCUCAGGUUGUGACAGACGGACAUUCGAUCGACGAUGCGCACCAACGCAAAAUCGAAAGAUAUGACAGACAGGACAUACGGACGGAAUUGCGGCGUCGAUUCGGAGAGGCAAGUGGCAUUGAGUUCCACUCCGCAACACUCAACUGGAGGGGGAUAUGGAGUAAUCGGUCGGUAAAACGAUUGAUUGCAUCAGAUCUCCUAACCACUAGCGAUAGCAAUAUCAUUAGUGUCCGGGUGGUGAAAGGCGGUAUUUACUGUUUUAGGCAUUUUAUGUAUUGGAAUGGCUACAGUAGAAGACUGGGAAAUGGAAGGCACUAGUUUCCCAACUAAAAGCCUGCUACCUUGGCAUAACAUCAAAAAAAGGUACAAACAUCGCAACAAUGACAUCCUAACAAGGAGGGUUUUAGUACGUAGGCGCUGUAGAACUUUCACACGUGGUGAGGUUCUGACGAAGCAGUGAAUCGUGCAUGCUAGACGCGGUCCGUGGGUGACCGACUAGUAUCUUUCGAAGAUUUCCCCACCUUAGCGAUCAAAAAAAAAAAAAAAAAAAAAAAAAAAAAUAGCCAAAUGCCUCGUCAUCUAAUUAGUGACGCGCAUGAAUGGAUUAACGAGAUUCCUACUGUCCCUAUCUACUAUCUAGCGAAACCACAGCCAAGGGAACGGGCUUGGAAUAAUUAGCGGGGAAAGAAGACCCUUUUGAGCUUGACUCUAAUCUGGCAGUGUAAGGAGACAUAAGAGGUGUAGAAUAAGUGGGAGAUAUUAGACUUCGGUUUGGUAUCGACAAUGAAAUACCACUACUCUUAUUGUUUCCUUACUUACUUGAUUAAAUGGAACGUGUAUCAUUUCCUAGCCAUUAUACGGAUAUAUUUAUUAUAUCUUAUGGUAUUGGGUUUUGAUGCAAGCUUCUUGAUCAAAGUAUCACGAGUUUGUUAUAUAAUCGCAAACAAAUUCUUUAAUGAGACGAUGCAUUUAUGUAUUUUUGAUUUGAAAAUUUGGUAUAACUCCAAUUACUCAGGUAUGAUCCAAUUCAAGGACAUUGCCAGGUAGGGAGUUUGACUGGGGCGGUACAUCUCUCAAAUAAUAACGGAGGUGUCCCAAGGCCAGCUCAGUGCGGACAGAAACCACACAUAGAGCAAAAGGGCAAAUGCUGACUUGAUCUCGGUGUUCAGUACACACAGGGACAGCAAAAGCUCGGCCUAUCGAUCCUUUUGGUUUAAAGAGUUUUUAACAAGAGGUGUCAGAAAAGUUACCAUAGGGAUAACUGGCUUGUGGCGGCCAAGCGUUCAUAGCGACGUCGCUUUUUGAUCCUUCGAUGUCGGCUCUUCCUAUCAUUGUGAAGCAAAAUUCACCAAGCGUUGGAUUGUUCACCCAUGCAAGGGAACGUGAGCUGGGUUUAGACCGUCGUGAGACAGGUUAGUUUUACCCUACUAAUGACAAAACGUUGUUGCGACAGCAUUCCUGCGUAGUACGAGAGGAACCGCAGGUACGGACCAAUGGCACAAUACUUGUUCGAGCGAACAGUGGUAUGACGCUACGUCCGUUGGAUUAUGCCUGAACGCCUCUAAGGUCGUAUCCGUGCUGGACUGCAAUGAUAAAUAAGGGGCAAUUUGCAUUGUAUGGCUUCUAAACCAUUUAAAGUUUGU
Molecule: ribosomal RNA, 2829 nt
Filed under: Drosophila serrata
Lineage: Eukaryota; Metazoa; Arthropoda; Insecta; Diptera; Drosophilidae
Description: eukaryotic LSU rRNA
Rfam family: Eukaryotic large subunit ribosomal RNA (bases 1451-2829)
Source: RNAcentral